GGCUAACGCUGGCGGCGUGUCUUAGCCAUGCAAGUCGAGCGGACUUAUGGGGUAACUUAUAAGUCAGCGGCGGACGGCGGAGUAACACGUAGCUAACCUACCCUCUGGAACGGGGAUAACCUACCGAAAGGUGGGCUAAUACCCGAUGUAGUCAUCCUGUAUAGGGGUGAUGAAAGGUGGGCUUCUGUUUACAAGCUCAUGCUGGAGGAGGGGGCUGCGGCCUAUCAGGUAGUUGGUAGGGUAAUAGCCUACCAAGCCGAUGACGGGUAGCCGGCCUGAGAGGGUGACCGGCCCGAGGGGCACUGAGAUACGGGUCCCACUCCUACGGGAGGCAGCAGGCUAGAAAUUUGGGCAAUGGGGGAAACCCUGACCCAGUGACGCCGCGUGCAGGAAGGAGCCCUUCGGGGUGUAAACUGCUGUCGUGUAGGGAGAAGGGUACUAAGGUGAACAAUCUUAGUACUUGACGGUACUACAGGAGGAAGCCCAGGCUAACCUCGUG
This 499-nucleotide ribosomal RNA is filed under the name uncultured bacterium. RNAcentral describes it as "bacterial SSU rRNA". It matches the Rfam family "Bacterial small subunit ribosomal RNA", at positions 28 to 507 of the family's 1533-position model. The record is from RNAcentral.